GGGUUGUCAUGCCAAUGGCAUUGCCCGGUAGCUAAAUGCGGAAGAGAUAAGUGCUGAAAGCAUCUAAGCACGAAACUUGCCCCGAGAUGAGUUCUCCCUGAGACUUUAAGUCUCCUGAAGGAACGUUGAAGACGACGACGUUGAUAGGCCGGGUGUGUAAGCGCAGCGAUGCGUUGAGCUAACCGGUACUAAUGAACCGUGAGGCUUAACCUUACAACGCCGAAG
Molecule: ribosomal RNA, 225 nt
Filed under: Klebsiella pneumoniae
Lineage: Bacteria; Pseudomonadati; Pseudomonadota; Gammaproteobacteria; Enterobacterales; Enterobacteriaceae
Also listed under: 1 other name
Description: partial 23S ribosomal RNA
Rfam family: Bacterial large subunit ribosomal RNA
Source: RNAcentral